AUGUUUCAUUCAAAUUUCUGCCCUAUCAACUUUCGACGGUAGGGUAGUGGCCUACCGUGGUGGUAACGGGUGACGGAGGAUUAGGGUUCGAUUCCGGAGAGGGAGCCUGAGAAACGGCUACCACAUCCAAGGAAGGCAGCAGGCGCGCAAAUUACCCAAAUCCCAACUCGGGGAGGUAGUGACAAGAAAUAACGAUGCUCCGGCCAUCGGUCGGGUAAUCGGAAUGAGGACAAUUUAAAUCCCUUAUCGAGGAUCAAUUGGAGGGCAAGUCUGGUGCCAGCAGCCGCGGUAAUUCCAGCUCCAAUAGCGUAUAUUUAAGUUGCUGCGGUUAAAAAGCUCGUAGUCGGAUUUCGGGUGGUGCCUACCGGUCCGCCCUUGGUGUGUACUGGUAGGCGCCACCUUUCUGCCGAGGACGGGUUCCUGGGCUUAGCUGUCUGGGGCCCGGAGUCGGCGAUGUCACUUUGAGUAAAUUAGGGUGUUUAAAGCAGGCUUAUGCUCUGUAUACACUAGCAUGGGAUGACACGAUAGGACUUCGGUCUAUCUUGUCGGUCUGUAGAUCGGAGUAAUGAUUAAGAGGGACAGUCGGGGGCAUUCGUAUUUCGUAGUCAGAGGUGAAAUUCUUGGAUUUACGGAAGACGAACUUCUGCGAAAGCAUUUGCCAAGGAUGUUUUCAUUGAUCAAGAACGAAAGUCGGGGGCUCGAAGACAAUUAGAUACCGUCGUAGUCUCGACCAUAAACGAUGCC
This 744-nucleotide ribosomal RNA is filed under the name Trentepohliaceae sp. Kukwa 19376. RNAcentral describes it as "SSU rRNA". It matches the Rfam family "Eukaryotic small subunit ribosomal RNA", at positions 290 to 1043 of the family's 1831-position model. The record is from RNAcentral. Lineage: Eukaryota; Viridiplantae; Chlorophyta; Ulvophyceae; Trentepohliales; Trentepohliaceae.